GUGCGCCUGCGCCACCUCCGUAGUUGCGUCCCAACUUUCAAGAAAUCGUACGGGACCCUCCGCACUCUGCGGCGUGGGGACUUUGUGUGGUUCGCACGGCUGGCGUCCCGGCGGUCUCUCUCCGCCGGGUUCCUCUCAGCGUUGGCUGGUGGGAGUCCGCUCGGAACGUUAAACCACGUUCCAAGCUGCCCUUCCCUCCGCCGUUCGAUUGGCCUGGGCGGGCCUGGACGUCUUCAUUUUUCAGAGCCUGGUCCUUCCGGGAGGCACCGGCGAUUGAGCCCCGUACAGAUCGCCGGGUCCCCUGCACCCCCUCCCACGGUUCCAGCGUGAACGGUUCACCCCAGCGGGACUUAACAUCUGCCCUCCCGGCCGCCCUCACCGAAAUCCGCUUUCCUCUCCCUGUGUCCUUGAUCUCUUCGGGUAAAGGGGAGAUGGAAUACAAGAUCCUUGACUAGAGAGUAUUACUUUUCCCUUUCGUCCUUAAGCUACAUUUUGGAUAAAAAUGUAUAGAUUUUCUGGUUCUACGCACAAUUUGUCUAUGCUUGCUGCGUGUAAAAGUGCUGCAUUUGGAGGUUUUCAAAAACAUUCUUUUUGUGUGUAAUACCCGUUCUUUGAAAUUCAAAAACAUAAAGUACGACCGGCAUGGUAGUGCACGCCUGUAAUCCCCGCACUCGGAAAGCUGAGGCAGGAGGAUCGCUGAGUGUUUGAAGCCAACCUGGACUACAUCCCAAAUUCAAGGCCAGCUUGAUCUACACAGUGAGACCCUGUCUCAAAAUAUAAAGUAUGGGUAAGUGAAACAAAGAAAAAAGUGACCCUAAGUCUCAUUUAGCAUUAACCACUAUAAACGUGUUUGUAUAGUAUUCACAUUUUGUUUGUGUGAUGUAUCAGUUAUCACGUGUGGCCUGUGAAACCUGAGGCAUCCAGGAAAUGCUCUUGAAAGCUAAGCCAUCUUUCAUUGGUUGACGUUUGCACUGAUCAUGGUGCGAGGCAGAAGUGGGUAACAUUUCCCCCUGGGAGGGCUGAGGGUUGUUAAUGCUCAUAAUCAUUCCCUGCAGACUAAUGGUAGCAGGUGGCUGAAUGGGCCGGGUUCAGUGUAGGGUCUCCUGACCCUACGAAUAAUUGCAUUAACCCCCAGCUCUUCAGUACUCAUCUUUAAUAUUUGCUUAAUUUGACAAACUGGGAAGUAUGUGUAAAUCUCUUCUACCUCAUAUCAAAAUACAAUAGUUGUUUCUUGAAAACACUUGUGGGAUGUUUGAGUAGUAGUCUGAACUAGCUGCUUUGUCAGUGGAAAUAUGUUUACUUGAAAGAAUGACUGAUGGACAAACUGUUUAGACGUGGGUAUUCUGGAGAUAUUUUUGAGAAAGUGAACACAAGGAGGGUGUCACUUCAGUGGAAAUC
This 1398-nucleotide long non-coding RNA is filed under the name Heterocephalus glaber (naked mole-rat). Its description in RNAcentral is "lncRNA (ENSHGLG00000045167.1)". The record is from RNAcentral. Lineage: Eukaryota; Metazoa; Chordata; Mammalia; Rodentia; Bathyergidae.